RNAcentral lists this long non-coding RNA (325 nucleotides) under Olea europaea subsp. europaea. Lineage: Eukaryota; Viridiplantae; Streptophyta; Magnoliopsida; Lamiales; Oleaceae. The record is from RNAcentral.
AAAUAAAAAAAUAAAAAAAAUCAAAUCUCUCUUUUCGACAUCUUAUCUGCAUGUAAAUUAUUAUACAACUCUAUUAUGUAUCAAUAGCUUAUUCUUUAGAUUUAUAUCAAACGUGUGUAUAACAUAAUCACCAUCAAUUAGUAAACCGCUGAGAGAUGAUAUAAUUGCAUUAACCAAUUAAAUCUGGAACCAAAAUUGCCUUGUCCCAUUUGCAAAGCAAAGGAAGUUACACUCAAACAAGUUACGGCUGCUACUAAAGCCCAAAUGGAAUCACUCAGAAUGCUGUUUCUGCUUCUUUUCUUUAGGCCUGUUCGCCUCGUCUUUC